Molecule: unclassified non-coding RNA, 285 nt
Filed under: Cortinarius hinnuleus
Lineage: Eukaryota; Fungi; Basidiomycota; Agaricomycetes; Agaricales; Cortinariaceae
Description: sequence contains 5.8S rRNA gene
Rfam family: 5.8S ribosomal RNA (bases 1-53)
Source: RNAcentral
GAACGCACCUUGCGCUCCUUGGUAUUCCGAGGAGCAUGCCUGUUUGAGUGUCAUUAAUAUAACCUCAAACCUUUCUUUUUGUUGAAGGGUUUGGAUGUGGGGGUUUUGCUGCGCCUCUUAAGAGGUUCAGCUCCUCUGAAAUGCAUUAGCAGAACAACCUUGCUCAUUGGUGUGAUAACUAUCUACGCUUAUGAAUGUGAGGGGCAGUUCAGCUUUCUAACUGUCUUUGGACAAUUCAUCAUUAAUGUGACCUCAAAUCAGGUAGGACUACCCGCUGAACUUAAG